Molecule: long non-coding RNA, 1872 nt
Organism: Oncorhynchus tshawytscha (Chinook salmon)
Lineage: Eukaryota; Metazoa; Chordata; Actinopteri; Salmoniformes; Salmonidae
Source: Ensembl
CUUUAGGUCUGAUGUCCAUUGCUCGUGUUUCUUGGCCCAAGCAAGUCUCUUCUUAUUAUUGGUGUCCUUUAGUAGUGGUUUCUUUGCAGCAAUUUGACCAUGAAGGCCUGAUUCAUGAAGUCUCCUCAAAACAGUUGAUGCUGAGAUGUGUCUGUUACUUGAACUCUGUGAAACAUUUCUUUAGGCUGCAAUCUGAGAUGCAGUUAACUCUAAUGAACUUAUCCUCUGCAGCAGAGGUACAUCUGGGUCUUCCUUUCCUGUGGUGGUCCUCAUGAGAGCCAGUUUCAUCAUAGCGCUUGAUGGUUUUGAGACUGCACUUGAAGAAAAUGUCCAAGUUCUUGAAAUGUUCUGCAUUGACUGGUCUUCAUGUCUUAAAGGCUGGAUCUGAUGUGGGAUGAAUCUAGAGAUCAGGAUUCUGGGUGAGUAAACAAUUAUUUAUCUUGGUGGUAGUGGUAGUGGGGGGGGGUAGUUCAGUAGUUGUACUACUUAGUGUAGUCACCUCUCCUUUUACGACUUUUGUGUAGUUAGAGAUGAGAAGAUACUGUCUGAAGGGCUGGGCAUGUGUCUCAGGUAUGAAAGACACAGGGACAGUUCAUCAUUACUACACUAGGGUUUUCACGAAACCAGCCAACAGAAUGGUGUGCAAAAUCAACAUGCACAGAACUGUUCUGUGCAUAAUUUAUCAUAUCAUCAUUCAGGGCAAGCUAGUGAUUUGAAAUCAGUACUAUAUAUGGGAACAACCAGUUCAAUGUAUUGAUGUUGCUAGGGAUGAGUGACAGACGAAACAAAUUAGGAGAAUAACUUUCAUCUGUUCUGAUAUAGCUUUGGUCGAACAGGGCAAAAAUGAUCUUCUCCAUGCUGCAAACCAUUCUGCAACUUUGAGAAGAACAUGUGCAUCAAGUACGCAAAAUGCGGGCUAGGCAUCUGGCAAAAACAACAUAUGGCAAAACGCAUGUACAUCUGGUGGACAUAUGGCAUUAGCCUCCUCUGGCCACUGUGCACAUUUGUGGUUAAAAGGCAAACAAAACAUUUUUUUCUCCUCAAACUUCUGUAUACAUUCGCAGGUGUGUCCACAAUGUUUCAGAUAGGGCUCCAUAUUUAUUUAUUAAUUGUACCUUUAUUUAACUAGGCAAGUCAGUUAAGAACAAAUUCAUAUUUUCAAUGACAGCCUAGGAACAGUGGGUUAACUGCCUGUUCAGGGGCAGAACGACAGAUUUGCACCUUGUUAGCUUGGGGAUUUGAACUUGCAACCUUCCGGUUACUAGUCCAACGCUCUAACCAGUAGGCUACCCUGCCGCCCCAUAUUAGUAAAAAAGAUAUUAGUCAUUUGUUUUGAUAUGUGUCUGAGGCUUUUGUACCUGAAACUGAAUGUAUGAUACCUAAAUAAUGUUCAAUGAAAAUUAUACUAAUAAAGUCCAUUAGAAUAAUAAUAACCCAACCAUUAGGAUUCGUCCACCAUUAGGAAUACACUUCCUCCUACCUAUAACUAUACAUGCAGUUCUACCUCUAUUUCAGAUACAGAUACAGCCACAGACUGUACAGUAAACCCAUUUAAACAGCCAUGACCGACCUAUAAACAGCAGAAACCCUCUCUCCCUGGUUGCCUGGUCCACCUGGACCCUGUUGAGUAUCACACAGGGGGCGUGUUAAGUUUGGGUCAGGACUUUAUUAACUGUAACAGAUGCCUUGGUGCUCAGUCGGCCUACCAUGGGGUGGGGGAAUUGCAUUUGCGGUAUGGCUCUGCACUGACAGAAAGGCAGACAGUUAUGAUAAGAGAGUGGCAGAGCAGAAUCCAUUUAGCCCCAGUCAGACCUCCCCAGAGGGGGAGAGGAGAGGGGAGACCCAGCCAGGAAAGUGGGAGUCUCACUGUGG